GGAGAAAUGCCGGAGCGGUCGAACGGGGCAGACUCGAAAUCUGUUGGCCGGCUUAGCUGGCCCGGGGGUUCGAAUCCCUCUUUCUCCGC
This 89-nucleotide transfer RNA is filed under the name Bacteroidetes bacterium ADurb.Bin041. Its description in RNAcentral is "tRNA-Ser". It matches the Rfam family "tRNA". From Rfam's summary of the family: Transfer RNA (tRNA) molecules are approximately 80 nucleotides in length. Their secondary structure includes four short double-helical elements and three loops (D, anti-codon, and T loops). Further hydrogen bonds mediate the characteristic L-shaped molecular structure. tRNAs have two regions of fundamental functional importance: the anti-codon, which is responsible for specific mRNA codon recognition, and the 3' end, to which the tRNAs corresponding amino acid is attached (by aminoacyl-tRNA synthetases). tRNAs cope with the degeneracy of the genetic code in two manners: having more than one tRNA (with a specific anti-codon) for a particular amino acid; and 'wobble' base-pairing, i.e. permitting non-standard base-pairing at the 3rd anti-codon position. The record is from RNAcentral. Lineage: Bacteria; Pseudomonadati; Bacteroidota.